Molecule: small RNA, 744 nt
Filed under: Pan troglodytes (chimpanzee)
Lineage: Eukaryota; Metazoa; Chordata; Mammalia; Primates; Hominidae
Description: retained intron
Source: RNAcentral
CAGAGAGGAAGGCCAUGAGGUGAGGGCUCUGGCCAUGGUGACCAAGAGGGGUCUAGGAGUGCAAGAUGGACUUGGAUUUCUGGAAAAAGGAUGAAUCUUCAGAGACUGUCUCAGAUUAGACUCAAGAGCCCUUAGAGCUAGUGUGACUUUUUAUGGGGGUGGGGGUUGGGGGCGGUUACUGCCUUCUCUCCAGGAUGAAGAUGGGAAGAAGUUAUCUGAUGAGGACAUAAGAGCAGAAGCUGACACCUUUAUGUUUGAGGGUGAGGGCCCCAGUGUGGGGCUAGAGAGGGGACCGGGAUCUCUCCCUUCCAGGAACAGGGUGGGUGGACCCCCACAACCUUCCCAUCCCCCUUCCCCCAUCCUCCCUGAGGCCCUCAACGCAUGGGUGCUGUCUACCUUCGGGUGCUGAAGCAGCCCAGAGACCCAAGCCUGCCUUGCUGCCCCCCAGGCCAUGACACCACGGCCAGUGGUCUCUCCUGGGUCCUGUACCACCUUGCAAAGCACCCGGAAUACCAGGAGCGCUGCCGGCAGGAGGUGCAAGAACUUCUGAAGGACCGUGAGCCUAAAGAGAUUGAAUGGGACGACCUGGCCCAUUUGCCCUUCCUGACCAUGUGCAUGAAGGAGAGCCUGCGGCUGCAUCCCCCAGUCCCGGUCAUCUCCCGCCAUGUCACCCAGGACAUUGUGCUCCCAGACGGCCGGGUCAUCCCCAAAGGCAUUAUCUGCCUCAUCAGUGUUUUCGGAACC